Non-coding RNA from Oceanospirillum sp., 362 nucleotides. It matches the Rfam family "Bacterial RNase P class A". From Rfam's summary of the family: Ribonuclease P (RNase P) is a ubiquitous endoribonuclease, found in archaea, bacteria and eukarya as well as chloroplasts and mitochondria. Its best characterised activity is the generation of mature 5'-ends of tRNAs by cleaving the 5'-leader elements of precursor-tRNAs. The record is from Rfam. NCBI's taxonomy places the organism in Bacteria, Pseudomonadati, Pseudomonadota, Gammaproteobacteria, Oceanospirillales, Oceanospirillaceae.
GGAGUUUGCCAGGCAGUCGCUGCCCUUUCGGGGGUGGAGGAAAGUCCGGGCUCCAAAGGGUAGAGUGCCAGAUAACGUCUGGGCGGCGCGAGUCGACGGAAAGUGCAGCAGAAAAUAUACCGCCUACGUAUCUCGAUUUUCGGAUCGGGAUGCCGGUAAGGUUGAAAUGGUGCGGUAAGAGCGCACCGCGUGGGUGGCAACAUUCCACGGCAUGGUAAACCCCACUCGGAGCAAGACCAAAUAGGGUUCCUAUAGGCGUGACCCGCGCUGGAACCGGGUAGGUUGCUUGAGGCCUGUAGCGAUGCAGGUCCUAGAUGAAUGACUGUCCACGACAGAACCCGGCUUACCGGCAAACUCCUCAU